This is a long non-coding RNA of Trichechus manatus latirostris (Florida manatee), 4204 nucleotides long. RefSeq lists it as uncharacterized. The transcript is spliced from 2 exons. NCBI's taxonomy places the organism in Eukaryota, Metazoa, Chordata, Mammalia, Sirenia, Trichechidae. The record is from RefSeq and is a predicted model, not a curated record.
UUUUUGGGGGACACAAUUCAAUCUGUAAUAGGAACCCUAUGAGGCAGUUCUACUCUGUUCUGUAGGAUCGCUGUAAGUCAGAAUCGACUCAACGGCAGCAGGUUUUGGUUUUUUCCAAGUUUUUGACCACCCAGCCAAGCUGUGAGCAACUCCCUAUAAAUCAGUAUAGAUCAAUACUUUGGGCCAUAUCUCAUUCUAGACAGGAUGGGUGACCAGAUGUAUUACAGUUUGAAGAUCUACUCGCCAGGUUUUUCUUCACUGCCCUUCAGAUCUGUCACUGCACAGGAUGAAGAGUUGCAGCUCUGUCCACUUUCAGGUGGUUCCAGCAUCUGUGAGCUAGACUUGGCUUUUUCUUCCUCAGUCAUUUGGCCAUAAGGAACACAAGGAGGCCCUGGGCCUGACUCUAGAGAGGCAGCAAUGCAACAGGUGUCGAUGUUGAAGGAAUCUGACCCCCUGUUUAUGCAACUCUACCUCCUGCCCAUGUUCAGUCUCUUACCUGCCAUUUCCACUUGAUGAUAGAUGGCUGCUGCACACACGCCCAACCUUAUGGUGAGGUGGGUCAGACAAUGCCUGUCUUAUCAUGGAAUGAUUAGGCAUGGAGUCUGUCCUAGGAAAAAGGAGAAGCUGAUUCUCAAAAGGAGAAUAUCUCUAGAAAAAGAACAUGGCUCAGAUUUGCUUCCAAAUCCUGGAGAUCUGCACGGUGACUCUUCUGUUGGUCCUUGCUAGGGUCUCCGUAAAGAAUCCUUAUUUGCCACGGAUGUUUCAAGUUCCAUUGGAUCUUCUGGAUCAUAAGAUUCAAGUGGUGGAGCAGCAUGUGUGGCAGACAGCCUGAACUUGCUCUGGUUCCACUUGACACUGGCAGCCAUAUGAUGCCUUCAGAUGUGUAGAAAGAACUCAAAUGUGGUUAUGUUGUCUCCAAAAUCCGAAAAAGCCUGCCAAGCAAUUUUCAUUUACCUACCUUUUUUACUAGGUGCAGCAGCUUGGAGGGGAGAUCCCUUGGAGGAGAUAUCUUGACAUGCUCCAGACCACUGAACCCCCAGAAUUCACCAAGUUGCGAACCCCUGUUUUGGGGAGGUUAUUGCUCACUCUCUAGUUAUGUUUUACUGAAGCAUCUAUAAUAUUUGCUACUUCCUGCUUAUCAGAUCCAGUCCACAAAAUGUCACCAAUGUAGUGAACCAGAGUGAUGUUUAUGGGGUGUUAAGAUGGUCAAUAUGUCUGUGGACUGUACAGCAGAGAGCAGGAGAAUGGAUGCAGCUCUGAUGUUCUACCAGCUCCGUCUUCCAGAGGUGAUGCCAGUAAGCUGUGAGUGUAUUAAAACGUCGGGCAGGAGAGGAAGAGGAAAUGUACGUAAGUUGCGUUUUUGUAGUAUUUUAAAGCUAGAAGAGAGGAACACCCUGUCUGAAUGGUAUUCAUUCAACGACCAUGAUAGCCACCAUGUGGGACACUGCUCCAGACCUAGGGCAGGGCAGACUGAGCCUGUGCUCAUGGAGAGAGCAGUCUCAUGGGGAUACAAAUGUGUCAGACUGUGUAAGUGGUCCAUAGAACAGGUGACGGACUGUAGAGCAAUGGCAGUGGGUCUGCUGUUUAGAAGGAGUGAUGAGUGUCCUAGUGUGGCUGUAACAAAUCACCAGAAACUGGGUGGCUUACAAAAGAAAUCUGUUCUCUCAUAGUUCUGGAGGCACAAGUCUGAAUUCAGGGUAUCAGCAAGGCCAUGGACACUUAGUUUAAAAAAAAAAAAAAACAGGGUGAGAGAUGGGAGAAGGCCUCCCUCAGUGGUGCAGGCUUGCAGAAGAGGGAUGGGCACUGCUGCAGGAAUAGCACAAAGCCCCAUCCAGAUGCUUCUACCCUAAGGAACAAAAGCCUUAAACUGCUAGGGAAAGGACAACAAACCCUGUUGGCCCCAGGAUACAGGUAAAGGCCCAUCGAAGUUGGUGGAAAGGAAAAGAAAAUUCCUCUUACUGCAGGCAGAGGGCAGGAAAUCGUCCUGGACUCGGAGGGGCAGAAUCACUGGAAAAGCCUCAUUUCCCUAGACCCAGGAACAUAGGGCCUAAGACUGAGACUGGAACAGGGUAGCAGAAAACCCCCUGCCCUUCCAAACGGGGUUAGCAAGCACUGAGUAACCGCUAAUGUGAGAGAGGGGGGAAAUGUGGAGAAAGAACCUCUGAGAGGUACACAGGAAAGGUGUAAACCUGAGGGUGGAGCAGGAACAUUGUGAAAUACACUCUGGUAAAUCAGCCCCCUCCUUAAAAACAAGGUAACAUUAGGGGAGUUUGAAGCCAGUAGUGCAUUGAAUGUCUUGGAAGAAAUACAACCAGAAUGCUCCUUAGAAGCAAGGAUGGUGAGACUAUGUCUUACAUACUUUGGACAUGUUGUCAGGAGACACAACAAGUGCAUUGAAGGUAACCAUAGCAACCACUCAAAUCCAACUCAACUCCUAACUAGGUUGACUCAACUCUGCACAAUAAUGGCUUAGAAGAAAAGGCAUGUCCAUUUUCAGGCAUAAAUCAUUCUUACCUCAGUCUCUGCUGUCCUACCCAUGUUUGGCAUUCAAUAAAAAAUUACAAGACACACAAAAGAGCAAGUAAAAUCAACCCACUGUCAAGAGACAAAUCAACUGAACCAGACUCAGAUGCUCAAGGUAUUGAAGCUAUUAGGCAAAUUUAAAAUAAUUAUGAUUAAUAUGUUGUAGGCUCUAGUGGAAAACAUGCACAAACAUGCACGAACAAAUGGGGAACUUCAGAAGAGAUGGAAACUAUAAGGAAGAGUCAAAUGGAAAAGCUAGGGGAAAAAACAGUAACAGAGAUGAAGAAUGCCUUCUAUGGCUUAUUGUAGAUGCAACACAGCUGAGAAAAGAAGCACUGAACUUGAAGGCCAGUAGAAAUUACUCAAACUGAAAUGGGGGAAAAAAGGUGAAAAAUACCCCAACAGCACAGAGCACCAGAGGGUAGAAGAAAUAUUAGAAGAGAUAAUGGUCAGUAAUUUUCAAAAAAUAAUGAAAACAUCAAGCCACGGAUCCAAGAAGCCCAGGGAACCACAAACAGGAUAAAUACCAAAACAAAGCAAACAAACAAACCAAAAAAACACCUAGCUACAUCAUACUCAGACUGCUCAAAAGUUAAAGUAAUGAGGAAAAUUUGAAGGUGAAUAAAGAGGAACAAAGAUAGGAAUUACAACAGAUAUCUUGUGAGAAACUAUGCAAGCCAGCAGAUAAUGGAAUGCUAUCCUUAAAAUGUUGAAAGGAAAAAACUGAACUCAGAAUUCUAUAUCUAGAGAGAGAAUAUCUUUCAAAAAUGAAAGAGAAAUAAAGACUUUAUUAAAACAAACCAAAAAAGAGAAUUCAUUACCAGUAGAGCUACGUUAUAAGAAAGUUGAAGUUCUUCAGAUAGGAAUAUGAUACCAGACAUAGAAUUGGGUUUAUACAAAGAAAUGAAGAUCCCUGGAAAUGAAGGUAAAUAUAAAAUACAUUCUUUUUUUUAAAUUUUUAAUCUCUUUAAAAGAUAGUAGCUUUCUAAAUAAAAAAGAGUAGCAAUGUAUUGUGAGUUUACAGAGCACGUGGAAGUAAAAUGUAUGACAAUACAAAAUGGGAGAGUGGAAUUGAGAGUAUACUGCUGUAAGGUUACUGUUGUAAAUAUACUGUUGAAGGAUAUAUUUGAGGGUUGACUGUGAUUAAUUAAAGAUGCAUAUUGUAAACCCUGGGCAACCAGUAAAAUUUUUUUAAAGAUACAUAAAUAAAAAGACCAGUCUUGCCAUGAAGUAGGACAGGGGUUGACAAACUAUGACUCACAGGUCAAAUCUAGCCCACCACCUCUUUUUGUAAAAUAAAGUUUUAUUGGAGCACAGCCAUCCCAAUUUGGCUGCUUUCCCACUACAACAACAGAGUUGAGUAACUGUUGAGUAGUUCGAUCACAAACUCUAUGGCCCACAAAGCCUAAAAUAUUUAUUAUUUGGCCUUUUACAGGAAAGUUUGCCACCUCCUGGAGUAGGGGGACAAGGUGGCAACAGAGAGGCCGGUGGAGAGGCUGUUGUCCUCAUCCAGGUGAGAAAUGAUGGGAGCUUAGACUCAAGAGGCUAUGAUGAAUGGUUGGAAUUGGGUGAAUUUUGGAGGAGGACCAACAGAACAUGGAUAAAACUGACAGUAUUUAGAGAAGUUAUUUUCAAACUCUCUUUGUAGCACAGGAUCCUUUUCUUUAAAAAAAAAAAAAAA